Molecule: long non-coding RNA, 302 nt
Filed under: Elaeis guineensis (African oil palm)
Lineage: Eukaryota; Viridiplantae; Streptophyta; Magnoliopsida; Arecales; Arecaceae
Description: long non-coding RNA (EGUI_LNC073518)
Source: RNAcentral
CCCCUCUUCCUUUUGAAAACUCACUUAUACCCUAUGGGUUUAACCCCUUCAGGUAGGUCAACCAAUGUCUAUACAUUAUUGACCUUCAUGGACUCCAUUUCAGAUUUCAUAACUUUAAGCUAUUUCUCAGAGUCAGACCUCUACAUCAUAUCCAUAUAGGUAAUUGGAACAUUAUCAUUCUCAUCGAGUUCAAUAGGAUCUCCGUCUCAGACCAAGAAACCUAAGUAUCUGUCCAACUGACGUGAUACUCUACUGGAUCGCCUUAAGGAUAUUUGUAUAUUGGGCUCUAAGUUUGAUCUUAU